GAUGAACGCUGGCGGCGUGCCUAAUACAUGCAAGUCGAGCGGACAGACGCGGAGCUUGCUGCUCUGACGUUAGCCGAGGACGUGUGUGUAACGCGUGGAUAACCUACCUAUCAGACUGGUAUAACUUCGGGACACCGGAGCUAAUACCGGAUAAUAUCUUGAACCACGUGGGUCAAUAGUGAGAGACGGCUUUGCUGUCAGUUAUAGAUGCAUACGCGCUGUAUUGGCUGGUUGUGAAGGUCACGGCUUAUCACGGCAACGAUGCGUAGCCGACCUGAGAGGGGGAUAGGCGACCUUGGAGCUGAGACACGGUCCAGACGCCUACGAGAGGCAGCAGUAGGGAAUCUUCCGCAAUGGGCGAGAGCCUGACGGAGCAACGCGGCGUGAGUGAUGAAGGUGUUCGGAUCGUAAAACUCUGUUAUUAGGGAAGAACAGAUGUGUAAGUAACUGUGCACGUAUUGACGGUACCUAAUCAGAAAGCCCCGGCUAACUACGUG
RNAcentral lists this ribosomal RNA (497 nucleotides) under uncultured bacterium. RNAcentral's name for it is "partial 16S ribosomal RNA". It matches the Rfam family "Bacterial small subunit ribosomal RNA", at positions 28 to 507 of the family's 1533-position model. The record is from RNAcentral.